Salmo salar (Atlantic salmon) is the source of this 1744-nucleotide non-coding RNA. NCBI's taxonomy places the organism in Eukaryota, Metazoa, Chordata, Actinopteri, Salmoniformes, Salmonidae. The record is from RefSeq and is a predicted model, not a curated record.
UUCGUAUUCAUUCCUUUACACUUGUGUGUACAAGGUAGUUGUGGAAUUGGUAGAUUACUUGUUAGAUAUUACUGCAUGGUUGGAACUAGAAGCACAAGCAUUUCGUAUACUUGCAUUAACACCUGCUAACCAUGUGUAUGUGACAAAUAGAUUUGAUUUGAACUAUUAUAAUGUAAUAAGGUACUUACUUUGAUAGAAACGCACACAUUUACAAAGUUAUUAUUGGUAACAAAAACAACUUUGACUGCGAUGAAGGUAACAGACGGAAAAUGUGAAUACGUGUGUGCAGGAUGGGAGAUGAGCAAAUGUCUGCGGACUUGAACUGCACAAACAAUUGGGGAAUUGUGUCCGGGUCCACAAAAGUAAAAAUGUCAACUUUUAUAUGAACGAAUGAGGUGGAGCACACCUCAAUUCAAACUGUUCUUAGAAAAUAAUUAGAAAUUGACUAAUUGAAAACAGCCAAUAAAUAAAAACAGGCUGCGUACUUUGGUUUGAGGGCAGCGCGGAUUAAAUGUACUGUUACGUAACAAUCAUAUUCUGGAAUGGAGAGAACGUUCUAACAUCACGUGCAUAAACAAAUUCACACUGGGGCGAACGUUAGAGAUAUUUGGAACUCACGCAUGAAAGGGUUAAAAAGGAAGGUCCUUCCAAAGUUUCUCUCGCCCCUUCUGAAUUGGCCAAUGUAUUUUAUAAUUUCCGCGCAAUACACAUGAAUCUCAAAAUAAUAGACAUUUAAUGAGUGCAAAGCAGAAAGUGAAUAUCCAACAGAAAUUGGUAAUAAAAAGAGUAACAUUGUUAGGGUAGACUAAAAUGCAAACAAUGCCUUCCAAUAAGGAGAAAGUUAUUAUGUUUGUUUUGUUUGUUUUAAAACCUUACAAUAGGGGUAAAAGCAGAACAUUGUUUGAGUGUGAUCCGUGUGUACUAGCAGUAGUGAAUGAGAGUAUUUUUCUUUUUGGGAAGAGUAGAGGGGUCCUAGUUGAAGGAAACCAGUAUGGAGACUAGUGAAAGUAACAAAGCCAGUAAAAUGGAAAGAUUCAUGGCACUCAUGAUCUAUCAGUUGAUGUCAAAUGUUUCUUACCAUUUUUUCUCCCCAAUUGGUAGUUACAGUCUUGUCCCAUCGCUGCAACUCCAGUACGGACUCAGGAAAGGUGAAGGUCGAGAGCCAUGCAUCCUCCGAAACAUGACCCUGUCAAGCCGCACUGCUUCUUGACACACUGUUCACUUAACCCGGAAGCCAGCCGCACCAAUGUAUUGGAGGAAACACUGUACAACUGAAGUCAGUGUGCAUGCACCUGGCCCUCCACAAGGAGUUGCUAGAGCGCAAUGGUGCAAGGACAUCCCGGCCAGCCAAACCCUCCCCUAACCCGGAUGAUGCUGGGCCAAUUGUGCGCUGCCUCACAGGUCUCCUGGUUUCAGCUGGUUGCGACACAGCCUGGGAUCGAACCCAGAUGACUGUGACCUCCUCAGACCAGACCAGUUGGUAGUAUGCCCAGAACAUUGUUCUGAAAACCGAAAGGAUGAUCUCAGUUUCAAGGUCCCAGCUUUGAGAGAAGAAUCCUUGUUGGUCACAUGCAGGAACCAACAUGAAUAAUGAAUUAUGAAUUAUGUAAAUCAUGCUCAUAUGACUUGUUUGUGUAGCAGUAUAUAAGGACUGAGAGGGAACGCCCUUUUCAGAGUUUUCAUCAAGCUUCGAUUGAGUCUGUGAACCUCUCCGGCCGUGAUAAUAAAGAUUGAUUAAUUUACA